GUUUCAGGUGGCGUGGUUCGUGCGGGACGCCCUCGAAGCGCCGGAGGACCGGUGGCGGGGCCUCAACUCGUGCAACACCGGCUUGACCCU
This 90-nucleotide transfer RNA is filed under the name Actinoplanes regularis. Its description in RNAcentral is "tRNA-Arg". Lineage: Bacteria; Bacillati; Actinomycetota; Actinomycetes; Micromonosporales; Micromonosporaceae. The record is from RNAcentral.